Oxyura jamaicensis (ruddy duck) is the source of this 3053-nucleotide long non-coding RNA. RefSeq lists it as uncharacterized. The transcript has 2 exons. The record is from RefSeq and is a predicted model, not a curated record. NCBI's taxonomy places the organism in Eukaryota, Metazoa, Chordata, Aves, Anseriformes, Anatidae.
GCGAUUUGCAUAGGAACGGAGAGAGGAAAGGGCUCCCGGCGAGCAGCGGCCGCCCCCGCGGCGGGGGAAGGAGCUGAAGGGGGGCCGACCCACGGCCGGGGGUCGCCUGGGGCUGGGGAGCUGCGAAAGGGGGGCUUACUGGCCUGUUGGAAGCUGAAAUACAACUCACGCAUCAGCAAAACUCCAAACAGGAAGGAAGAGCGUGCGGACAACGUCUAGAGGAUGCAGCUGAACAGCUCGAUGACAACGGGAGCCGAGGCGUCAUAUGUGUACCACCAGGCCACCUGGACGGGUUCGAGUCGUGGAGGUUUACAAAGGCAGAAUUUCAAAAUAAGAGCUUUUAAUCCUUCCACUUAAAGUGUUGAAGACAGUGGGACAAGUCUGGGGAACUGUCAAGGUGGUAAUAGUUGCAAGAUGCUCUGAAAUACCCCUGCAUCCUUUUCUGAAGACCACCAGUAAGACCUAACUAGCUGGGAGCUGGAGCAGACUGAGGAGAUGGUGAGGACUUCCAUCAUAGCAUCCUUGUGGCUGAAAACGUCUCAAUGCAGAUCACAGCCUGUGAGUUUAAGAAAAAAACCUGAAUAAUUCCCAGGAAAACAAACUCUGCCAGUAGGACUUUGGCAUUGAUUAAUGGCCUGUCACACAGCAUGAUGCACAAUUGUCACAAUCUCUUUGCUGUAGCAUGUGCUGCAGUCUUCUCUCUAGGUUGUGGCUUGAGCAUGCAGGCCACUGCCUUGAUCCCAUAGAAGACUCCAUCUGCAGAGGCACUAAGAACGUGAUUUGCCACAUUUCUGAAUCAGGCCCACAUGUCCAUGUGCAUCUGCAGAGCUCUGAAAGGUGGAGAGCAGCAGCUGCUUAUCUUCUUUGAAUUAUGCCAUCAAUGAUUAAAACAGUGUCUCUUAGAUCUGCUACUAAAAAUUUGGUAAAGAUUUUAUCCCCUCCCCCAAGACACUUAAAAAGAAAAAAAAAAGUAAAACAACAUUUUUUCCUAUGGAAACUUUAUACGAAAAUGAAAUGUUUGAUUUAAUUCACAUUGUCUUUGGGUUUGGGACAUUUUUUUAGGCUGGAGAUUUGAAUUCCAAAAGUUUGUGCAAAAUAAGCUACUUUUGCUUGGAAGUGCUAUCACAGAGGCUCAAGAGAAUGUACUGCUCGGGUCUCACACUUCCCUUUUCCUCCAUUGGAUAAGUUCCUUGAUCUUCUGUCUUGGAGAGAAGUGGUGCACAGAGCCCACAUCUGUAUUGGCCAUCCUACUUUCCUCUCUAUUCUCUCUCUCAAUUAUCAAGCAUUCUGCUUGGUUUAAAAUCCACGUUCUCCUACCAAAGCAUCAGGGUAAAUAAAACAGAAUUGAGUUUUAUAAAUGUGUAACAAUCUAGCAGCCUAGUAAAAUACAUUCUUGCCUAUAGUAUGAAUAAUUCAGAAGAAUCAAAGAAGUUCUGAACUAAACUCAGUAAGCUGCUGAGCGAUAUUAGAUUUGGAAGUUAUAGCAGAAACUCAUCAGCUGUGCCCUGGAAGAGCUAAUAUGAAGAAAGGUUGGAGUAGAAUAAAUAUAUUGUGCUUUAUAUGAAGAAAAAAAAAUGUUGUUAGUAUCACUUAAUAUAAGUCACCAUUUUAUGCAUCUUUAUUUUCUCUGGUACAACCAAUAUGCACCAAAUCUACCUUGGACAGCAUAAGCAGGAAAUGAACUCUCUCUCUCUCUCUCUCUCAUUAUAUAUUCACCAAGAGGAAAAAAUAAAAACCUGGUUCCAGCCUCCUUACUUCUUUAGAUCUACUGUUAGUUACAAGUUUUAAAAUGCCUUUGUGUUUAGAUCAAGAAAGUUGGGUGAUUUGAGACAUGUAAAACAAGACUUGAAGUUUUCUUUAAGCCUAUCACUGUAGUGAAAGAAGGACAGUGAGUCGUGUUAGCCAGCUAGAGUUCAUACUCAGCAAUUGAUUUUCUGCUUUGGGCAGGCUUAACUCCAGACUAUGUCGCUACUACUGGAUUAAACCGGGCUGCAAGAAAGUUCUCCAGUGCUGUGGCUAUAUGGCUCUUUAACAGUCCGUGUCCAAACUGUUAAAUUCUCUUGGCAUCCAGAAUAAGGGGACUACAUGCAAACUGGUGUUUGAAUAGUCACUGGCCUGUGUUAAUUUCCAGAUCAGCUCUGGAAAUUUUUGGAGAGUGAUAAUUGGCUUGGGCCAGGGAUCUAUCUGAUGUGUAGAUUUGAAGCUCCAAGGUCCCGGAACAUUUCCUCAGUCACUGUUAAUUACUGGCAUAUAUGUAGCCUAUAGGCUGUGGAGCAAUCCAAGUUUUCAGCCGUUAGGUGACUACUGAUCUAGUCAUUAUUUGGAUUAUAUCCAGGAGUAUGCGGUGGCACAGAAUUUAGGGAAUAAUGGCUCGGGACAGUAAAUCAAACUUUAUCACAGACAAUGCAAACACCAGACUUCAAAAGAUAAUUUCUCUCACUGUGUUUUUGCAUAUUUCUUGCUUCCAGAGUUUCUGAUUACUUUCUAGACUAUGCUUGAACACAAAAGCAGAGCAGAAGUAGAAGAAUGCUAGUUAGUCAUGAAACCAGAAGUGGAGCAACCAGAGCAGUCAUUUGAGAGACCCCAAGGAACACCCAGGUUCGCUUAAUAGAAAAUAAAUAAAUAAAAUAAUUAAUGAAAAAGAUCUCUUUGUUCAAAAAUAGGCUUAAGAAGAUGUAAAUUCUGUAUAGAAUAACAGGGAAAGAGAGAUCAAAAAUGCAUGUAAAACUAAAACAUGAAAUCAUCUGGCUUUUUAGUCUGAGUUGGUUUUGGAAACUUGUUCUCAUUUUGUUGACAGCAAAAUAUCUUUUCUCUAGAGAUUCCAGCAUUUACGUGGUCACUUCAUUGUUUUUCUGUAUUUUAUUUCUUCCUCUAGAGAUUAUCAUUACGUAGCUGAAGUCCAAAUUGUUAACCUGCUUUGUAAUAACAUGGCAUUUUUUUAAGCAAAUAGUGAAAAAUGGGUUAUAAAAAAAUGAGAUCCAAGUCACAUUGUCAUUCAUUGCAAAAUGUUGGGGGACAAAAAGCAAACAGAAAAUAAAAGCAAUAUAUUUUGG